RNAcentral lists this unclassified non-coding RNA (279 nucleotides) under plant metagenome. RNAcentral describes it as "partial contains small subunit ribosomal RNA, internal transcribed spacer 1, and 5.8S ribosomal RNA". The record is from RNAcentral.
GUUUCCGUAGGUGACCCUGCGGAAGGAUAAUUAUUGUAUAUCCGAGGUGCGAGGGCUGUCGCUGAUUAGAUACGUCGUGCACGCACGAGUGCUUUCACACAUUUCAAUCUGACAUCUAAGUGAAACACGGCGUGGGGCUCCCUUUGGAUUGUUCGUUGGGGGGCUUACGUUUUUACACAGACUAUGCAUGUAGUGAAGAAAGUAUUUUUUGCUUUUGCGAUAACGUAAGCAAUAGAACUUUUAACAACGGAUUUCUUGGCUAACGCAUCGAAGAAGAAA